Non-coding RNA from Salmo salar (Atlantic salmon), 2913 nucleotides. The record is from RefSeq and is a predicted model, not a curated record. NCBI's taxonomy places the organism in Eukaryota, Metazoa, Chordata, Actinopteri, Salmoniformes, Salmonidae.
UUUGGCUAAACUCGUUUGGAGAAAAAAGACGGGUUCCUUUCAGGAAAAAAUGGCAGCAGUUGACAUCGACAUGCAGAUGGAACUAGAGCCACAAAUAAUUAUUGACGCCGACAUGAAGAGGUAGCUAAAUAUGCACUUUUUCAUGCAUGUGUACGGGUUGUGAAGAAAGUACUCUUUGUUAUUUGAUCGAAAUCCGAGCAUAAUCGUAAUUUAUAUUUAGCGGGGCCUACCUGGCUAGCUAACUAACAGUAGCUCGCUAACUGUCUUUCACCAACUAACAAGGGUUAUGUAACGUUAGCUACAACUAACUAGUUAAUCCAAGGGGCAAGAAAGAGUGCCAUUGUCAAGUCUCCAGACAGAACGUUAACUAUGCCAUUUGUUCCAUCGUAUUGGCAAUUAACGUUACUUUACAAUGACAAAAUGGGUUCGAGGUUGUAGUUUAUCUAGCUAACGUUAAUUGACAAUCUGCAAACCACCCUGAACUGUGCUGUUUUUCUCUGUGUAUCCUUUGUCACUGCAUUAUUGGCACUCAUGUUAGGUUGCCUAUGGAUUAUCCUAGGAAGCCAAAAGUGGCCACCGCAUCUGACUAGAGAAUAAAACCAUGCUGAGGCCAGACGGAAUGACCCAUUUCUCAGUCACGAUGAUAAUGCCAUCAUAGUAUCUACCUGCCACACAAGUGUCAAUAACUGAACUGUGUGUAUGUAUAUCGGUCUGCUCAUUACAUUUUUCAAAUGAACGGAUGUGGCCCUUUUUUUGCCUACUUAGCGUCGAGAUCCAGUUAUCAAUGAUCUUUGUGCACGCUAGUUAGCAACUCUUAGCAUUUAAGUUUGGUUUUCAAAAGAAACGAAGUGUGAACUUGAUGUGGUGGCAGAAUAUCACGCUGUUAAACCUGCAUAAAUUGCAGGUAGUUUACAUGGAUGGGCAUAAUGGAAGAAAGCUGAUGUGGACAGUUUACCAAAACAAAACGACACAAUUACUGUUGACUAACCCCAUUCUGUACAAAUUGGCGCAACCGCGGCAGUCAAACGAGACUGCAAUGAAAAGUAAUAGGACCGUGUUGGCAUCAAAAUCUGGGUUGUGAACUACGUUUCUAUUCAAGCAUUGAUUGACAUGGUAAUAGCCCGAUAGUAUUGUAGAAAAGUUGAAAAAACUGACCCCUAUGACGCUAUCUUAAAUGUGACGUGUCAUGACGUAACGUACCCACGCAUUAUGCAACUCAUUCUGUGUCGUACAGCCUCUCUCCACCAGGUGUAGCUCUUCUCGCAGAUUAAAAACAAGAAAGGGACAGGGUAAGGGGGGUACCUAGAUAGUUUGCAUAAUCGCUGCGAGCCACCAUGACUCUCAAAAGCCGCGACAGCCACUGUUUACUUCUGAAGUGCCGCCCUAAAAACCCGACAAACUUCAAAUAGGUUUCGUUUCCCCACCCGCCAUUUUUAAAAAGACCCAACGGAGCUCAUUGCCUUCUUCAAUCAUGCAGAGACGGGCUGCAUGACGGUCUUGUCGUUGAUUUUGCAGGAAAUGGUAGAUAUUGUGCUUUACAAUGGUAUUCAUAUUACAGUUGACCUGGAAGUAUGAUGUUUUUUGGGCGUUAAAAUAAGGUCAGUUGUACGUUAUAGCGUGAUGUACAAAAGUGCGUUAGCUAACUAUAGGUGGUAAACCGUAGUAAGCUAGUUGCAUUCGUUUUCGAGAUGAUCGAUCUCUGUUGAGGGAGAAGCUGGUUUUAACAAUGUAUAGGUCUAUUAAUUAAUUCUGAACACAUUCCGUUUGUCAAAAUAAUGACUUAUGUUCGGUAGCUGGACAGGCAAACGCCGCCAAAUACUAAACUGUAAACCAAUAUAAACUUGUGUAAUAUCGCUGCUGAUCACGUUAUCCGUAUCUAACGUAGUAGACAGCUGGUGACAUCGAGAGAUCUCCUUCCGACAAACUGCUAUCAGCUCUCCUGUGUCCCUCUCCCAGAGAUCAACCAAGUGCUAUUCGCCAAGCAUGGGCUGUAAGGAGAACCAUCCUACUGCAGUUUGAACUAGCCCUGCUGUCACUAUUUAGUCAUUGGAACCAGAUAUGCAUUUGCCUGCUGUCUUUUCUUUUUGGGGUUGGUCUUAAACAAUCUAGUGCAUUUUAGAGUUGAAGAACACCAACUGCAGAUAUGUGCCUGUUUGAACAUCUCAAAGACUCAAUUCAAUGUGAACCAGUUUAACAGGUGACAAUUAUUUUACUAUUGUAACAUGCAUUGGGGAGAAUUCUAUUGUCCCCGUCAGGAGCCCAGGCUUUUGCCAUAGAUGGUAGAGUUCUCGUCUCUGGACCACACAAGACACAAACUUUAGAUUGCAUUCCGCUAAGGCACUUGUCUGUCUACAUCGGUCCGCUACAUUAGUGACUAGGGUGGGAUCCUUUCAAUCCGCCUAUAGGGCUUGGGUACACAAAUGCUCCUAGAGAGGUGGGGGAAAACUGAAGCAUGCGUUGAUGACUCUUCUACAGUCUCAGAGGCCCAGGCUUUUGGCAUACAUGGUAAAAGCUUUUAAUUUCUGGACUAAGAUUGUGCCCUCCAUGGCAAUAAAUAGACGUUGAUUGGUAGGUUACACUAUAUUUAGAUAAUGGAAAACAUGUCUCGUACUCAGUCAUAGUUAGUAGUAGAAUAAUGAAUGGAUUGGCAAGAUAUGACACUGUCAACUUUUAAAGGUUAAUAAUUUAAACCACCUAAAUAUACUCGCAUACACUGAACAUUUAGUAUUUAAAACUCACAUUUCCGAACUAUAAUCCUACAGGCUCUAUUAUUCUCCAUACCUUAUUCCAAUGCAUCCUACAUUAUGCAUGGUAUUGAGAAGCUGCUAUUUGAGAACUCACCUCGUUUAGAAAUUUAACUAUGGUUUGUGAAGACCCUCCCACCCUGUUUGCCAAAUUCUUUCUCUCUGCUCU